CCUACGGGUGGCAGCAGUGAGGAAUAUUGGUCAAUGGGCGCGAGCCUGAACCAGCCAAGUCGCGUGAGGGAAGACGGUCCUAUGGAUUGUAAACCUCUUUUGUCGGGGAGCAAAAGACGCCACGCGUGGCGUUCCGCGAGUACCCGAUGAAAAAGCAUCGGCUAACUCCGUGCCAGCAGCCGCGGUAAUACGGAGGAUUCGAGCGUUAUCCGGAUUUAUUGGGUUUAAAGGGUGCGUAGGCGGAAGAUCAAGUCAGCGGUAAAAGUGAGAGGUUCAACCUCGUCGAGCGGUUGAAACUGGGUUGCUUGAGUGAGCGAGAAGUAUGCGGAAUGCGUGGUGUAGCGGUGAAAUGCAUAGAUAUCACGCAGAACUCCGAUUGCGAAGGCAGCAUACCGGCGCUCAACUGACGCUGAUGCACGAAAGUGUGGGUAUCGAACAGGAUUAGAUACCCCUGUAGUC
Molecule: ribosomal RNA, 459 nt
Filed under: uncultured bacterium
Lineage: Bacteria
Description: partial 16S ribosomal RNA
Rfam family: Bacterial small subunit ribosomal RNA
Source: RNAcentral